CCAAUUACCUGGCUAGCUCAGUUGGUAGAGCAUGGGACUCUUAAUCCCAGGGUCAUGGGUUCAAGCCCCAUGUUAUUUGGG
RNAcentral lists this transfer RNA (81 nucleotides) under Ovis aries (sheep). RNAcentral describes it as "tRNA-Lys (CTT) (tRNA-Lys-CTT-9-1)". It matches the Rfam family "tRNA". Rfam says of the family: Transfer RNA (tRNA) molecules are approximately 80 nucleotides in length. Lineage: Eukaryota; Metazoa; Chordata; Mammalia; Artiodactyla; Bovidae. The record is from RNAcentral.